This 597-nucleotide long non-coding RNA is filed under the name Homo sapiens (human). RNAcentral describes it as "HSALNT0215606". Lineage: Eukaryota; Metazoa; Chordata; Mammalia; Primates; Hominidae. The record is from RNAcentral.
GUUUUAGAUCGUGAACUCUUCUUUAGUGGGAUUAUUUGAGAACAUUGCAUGGCCUAGGAAGAGGAGAGUCCCUCAGAGAGGCUCUGCCUUUAUUUUCAUCAUAAAUACAAAAGGUCAGGUUCUCCAGAAGCAGAUGCAGAAAUAACAUCUAGAGUGUGGGGUGUUGAUUAAGGAUGAAUUUCUGUGAGCAGAAGAGAAAAAAGAGGAGAUAGAGGAAGAAGGUGAACUUCCUCGUGGGAACAACCAUGCCUCAGUAACCCCAGGAUCUCCGGAGGGAGGACUGGACAAAUCACACCUAACAGCGUGUCCUGUGUCACAGUAAAAUGGGCAGGUAUGACUUUGCAUCAGCUGGUCAUAAACACCCCUCACAAUGAUGAAAGCAAUGGACUCUGUCUCUGAAGAGAAAUGUGUGAGUGCCCACUGAUAAGUAUGUCACCAACAACUUCAAAAAUUGUUCAUAAGUGUUCCAAAACCCGCCCACAAGUUUUUACAGUGGAUAAACCUAAUUAGGGUUAACUUGACAUUGAAUUUUAUUUUCUUACUGCAUUUAAAUUCACAUCCAACUGUAUUUCAAUAAAAUCUCAAAAUCAAAAUGAU